ACCCGUCAACGCUCCCCAUGGGGGCGGAGGGAGGGCGAACAUUCCAAUCGCCCUUGCCCCGCCACCCUAGGGCCCCAAUGUCGCCCUUGCCCCGCCUUGCUGCAGGACGAGCAGCGAGAAUAAUACCCGGCACGGUGGGCACCAAGGAACACUGAUGUCGUAGAGCGCCGCACGCCUGUCCCGGCACGCGGCACGAUCCUUCCAUACGUCGAACUUUUACGACUUUCGACAACGAAUAUCUUGGCUCGCAUCGAUGAAGAACGUAGCGAAAUGCGAUACUUGGUGUGAAUUGCAGAAUCACGUGAACCAUUGAGCCUUUGAUCGCAAGUUGCGCCCGAUGUUAUCUGGCCGAGGGCACGCUUGCAUGGGUAUCAUGCCUCGCGUCGCUUCGCGCAAUCCGCCCCUGCCCCGGGGAGGCGGCGGACGCGGAUGCAGAGAUUGGCCCCUCGUGUCGAAGUGCAGGCCGCCGGUCGGGACGGACGUGGCGAGUGGUGGACGGACACGUACGACGCUUAACGCCGCCUCCGACCCCCGAUCCCAGCGGCACAUGCAAAGGAACCCACGUUGAGCACGGUUCGGAACACGAU
This 587-nucleotide ribosomal RNA is filed under the name Polygonatum verticillatum. Its description in RNAcentral is "eukaryotic LSU rRNA". The stretch from base 221 to 374 matches the Rfam family "5.8S ribosomal RNA". The record is from RNAcentral. Lineage: Eukaryota; Viridiplantae; Streptophyta; Magnoliopsida; Asparagales; Asparagaceae.